AUAUAGAUUAAGUUAUUAAGGGCGCACGGUGGAUGCCUUGGCACUAGAAGCCGAUGAAGGACGUUACUAACGACGAUAUGCUUUGGGGAGCUGUAAGUAAG
This 101-nucleotide ribosomal RNA is filed under the name Staphylococcus pseudintermedius. RNAcentral describes it as "partial 23S ribosomal RNA". It matches the Rfam family "Bacterial large subunit ribosomal RNA", at positions 1 to 96 of the family's 2925-position model. Lineage: Bacteria; Bacillati; Bacillota; Bacilli; Caryophanales; Staphylococcaceae. The record is from RNAcentral.